RNAcentral lists this ribosomal RNA (465 nucleotides) under Vreelandella stevensii. RNAcentral describes it as "partial 16S ribosomal RNA". It matches the Rfam family "Bacterial small subunit ribosomal RNA", at positions 338 to 795 of the family's 1533-position model. The record is from RNAcentral. Lineage: Bacteria; Pseudomonadati; Pseudomonadota; Gammaproteobacteria; Oceanospirillales; Halomonadaceae.
CCUACGGGGGGCAGCAGUGGGGAAUAUUGGACAAUGGGGGGAACCCUGAUCCAGCCAUGCCGCGUGUGUGAAGAAGGCCCUCGGGUUGUAAAGCACUUUCAGUGAGGAAGAACGCCUGGUGGUUAAUACCCAUCAGGAAAGACAUCACUCACAGAAGAAGCACCGGCUAACUCCGUGCCAGCAGCCGCGGUAAUACGGAGGGUGCGAGCGUUAAUCGGAAUUACUGGGCGUAAAGCGCGCGUAGGUGGCUUGAUAAGCCGGUUGUGAAAGCCCCGGGCUCAACCUGGGAACGGCAUCCGGAACUGUCAAGCUAGAGUGCAGGAGAGGAAGGUAGAAUUCCCGGUGUAGCGGUGAAAUGCGUAGAGAUCGGGAGGAAUACCAGUGGCGAAGGCGGCCUUCUGGACUGACACUGACACUGAGGUGCGAAAGCGUGGGUAGCUAACAGGAUUAGAUACCCGUGUAGUC